GACGAACGCUGGCGGCGUGCUUAACACAUGCAAGUCGAACGGAAAGGCCCUGCUUUUGUGGGGUGCUCGAGUGGCGAACGGGUGAGUAACACGUGAGUAACCUGCCCUUGACUUUGGGAUAACUUCAGGAAACUGGGGCUAAUACCGGAUAGGAGCUCCUGCUGCAUGGUGGGGGUUGGAAAGUUUCGGUGGUUGGGGAUGGACUCGCGGCUUAUCAGCUUGUUGGUUGGGUAGUGGCUUACCAAGGCUUUGACGGGUAGCCGGCCUGAGAGGGUGACCGGCCACAGUGGGACUGAGAUACGGCCCAGACUCCUACGGGAGGCAGCAGUGGGGAAUAUUGCACAAUGGGCGGAAGCCUGAUGCAGCAACGCCGCGUGCGGGAUGACGGCCUUCGGGUUGUAAACCGCUUUCGCCUGUGACGAAGCGUGAGUGACGGUAAUGGGUAAAGAAGCACCGGCUAACUACGUG
RNAcentral lists this ribosomal RNA (468 nucleotides) under uncultured bacterium. Its description in RNAcentral is "partial 16S ribosomal RNA". It matches the Rfam family "Bacterial small subunit ribosomal RNA", at positions 28 to 507 of the family's 1533-position model. The record is from RNAcentral.